Molecule: ribosomal RNA, 170 nt
Filed under: uncultured Mycobacterium sp.
Lineage: Bacteria; Bacillati; Actinomycetota; Actinomycetes; Mycobacteriales; Mycobacteriaceae
Description: partial 16S ribosomal RNA
Rfam family: Bacterial small subunit ribosomal RNA
Source: RNAcentral
UACGGGAGGCAGCAGUGGGGAAUAUUGCACAAUGGGCGCAAGCCUGAUGCAGCAACGCCGCGUGGGGGAUGACGGCCUUCGGGUUGUAAACCUCUUUCAGUAGGGACGAAGCGUAAGUGACGGUACCUACAGAAGAAGCACCGGCCAACUACGUGCCAGCAGCCGCGGUA